This 318-nucleotide ribosomal RNA is filed under the name Triticum aestivum (bread wheat). RNAcentral describes it as "partial small subunit ribosomal RNA". Lineage: Eukaryota; Viridiplantae; Streptophyta; Magnoliopsida; Poales; Poaceae. The record is from RNAcentral.
AUGUGCAUGGAGAAGUACACGGAACGUGUGCCCCUACUAGUGCCACUCUCGAUACUUCUCCUUGUUUGCUUUGGUGCUCAUGUUCAAUGUGGGAGUAUCGAAGACAUAGGUAACAGGAAGAUCAAUCUACCAUAUGGAUUGUGCGGACCACCUAGAAUAAUUCCAAAAUGCAAUGAUGGCUAUUGUUGGUGUUGUUUUGCGGAUCCCAAAUACUAUUGCUAUCGCACGCCUGAAGAAUGUGAUAAGGAAUGCCGCAAACAUUCUUCACUAAACAUUGUGGCGGCCGCGCCCGCCUCCUCCACCCUCCCACCAAACUGA